Molecule: long non-coding RNA, 448 nt
Filed under: Marmota monax (woodchuck)
Lineage: Eukaryota; Metazoa; Chordata; Mammalia; Rodentia; Sciuridae
Source: RNAcentral
UGUAGGGCCUAACCUGAGUGGCCAGUGAGCAGAGGAAGGCAGUGGCAUGGGAACCAGACCUCUGCGGGGAUGGACUGGUCUGGGCAAGACCCCAGGCCUUAGUGAGGAUGCUAGAGCUACCUGCAGAGAGGGCUUACUGGAGCAAGGCCCUGGGGAGUGUGGUCUCGGUCUCAUUUCCUGUCGGCUGCUGGCCCGUGAGCCUCAGGUCUUCUGCAAGAAACUGGAGAGCCAGAGAUCUGGCCCAGCGCCCUGCCUGUGACCCCCAGCACUGGAUGCCUCUCUGCCAGCUGCUCCAGCACUGGGGCCAUUUUCUGCUCCCUCACCUGGUGGCCUUGCUUAAUCCCUGGGAGUGGGGCAGAGGCCCAGCCUGCCAUCCCUAUGGAAGGCCCUGGAGUCUCCCAGUGUGGACAUAGCAUCUCACAGACAUGAGUUACCCAAGGCCUUUGAG